UCCGACCAGUUUGAAGCAAAAUUUGCUGCUGCUG
RNAcentral lists this unclassified non-coding RNA (34 nucleotides) under Mesorhizobium prunaredense. RNAcentral describes it as "Tombus_3_III". Lineage: Bacteria; Pseudomonadati; Pseudomonadota; Alphaproteobacteria; Hyphomicrobiales; Phyllobacteriaceae. The record is from RNAcentral.